ACACGGCCCCCUUUCCCAGGCACACGCCCUUCUGUGACACAAUACAAAAAAGUUUGGUGAAGAAAAAUUCUAUCACGGAAGAGAUUCUUUUGAGUGACACUAGUUGAUCAAGUUUGAGCCUUGAGAAGAGUGCCUGAGAGACACAGAGAGAGCCUGGACAAGAUCAUUGACAUCGAGCACAUUUGUUUUUUUCUCAUUCACAAUCUAACGCUAUGGAGUCGGCCAUCCAGACAGUGGUAGGAGUGUAUCUGAAGUCUGCCAAAGGGAAGGGCAGUCUCGGAGAUAAGGACUUCCAGGGCCUCGUCAAUAAACAGCUCGGCAACGUCAUGACUGGAACAGAGAGUUCCUCUGCAGUGAAGGAGAUGCGUAAGGGAUUGGACGAGAACAAAGAUGGGAAGGUCAGCUUCCAGGAAUACAUGACUCUGAUUGGCUACGUGGCAAACACCCUCAGCGAGCAGAGGACUGCAGCCAACAACACACCUGCUUCAUAGGAACUACAUAUGGCUUCAUAGACACUCUAUAAGAUGUCUUAUGCAGUCUAUAAGGCAGGGUUCUUCAAUCCUGGUCCUAGUGACCCACAGGGUGUGCAGGCUUUAGUUCCAUUCCAGCACUGACACACCAGAGGAAACUCGGGAAGGCUUUGAUGGGAUUGAUUACAGUGUGUGUGACCACAGGGCCAGAAUUGAAGAACACUGCCAUAAGGCCCCAUGUACCUAUAGAGGCUCAUAGACCUGUCAAUCUCCCAUGGCUGUAUAUCACUACAUAAUCACUACAUAAUCAGACUUAACUUCAUCUCAACAUAUUUUAUAUGCUUACACUACCAAUCUUCAUCUCGGAUAUAACAAUGUUACUGGUUUUAUAAAUAGUUUAUGAAGGCAUUUUUUUUACCUUAAGUUUAACAGUUCACAUGUUUUAGUAUAACUACUCUAAAUCAACACUUCUACAGUAAAUGGUUUGUUAUCAUGUUGAAAUAAAUGCCAUGGCAAUGUUUUAAAGUCAUGUCUUCUUUCACUGCUCUAACAUUGUCCUAGAUGUGUGUGUAUAGGUGGCACUGCUCUAACAUUGUCCUAGGUGUGUGUGUGUAUAGGUGGCACUGCUCUAACAUUGUCCUAGGUGUGUGUGUGUAUAGGUGGCACUGCUCUAACAUUGUCCUAGGUGUGUGUGUAUAGGUGGCACUGCUCUAACAUUGUCCUAGGUGUGUGUGUAUAGGUGGCACUGCUCUAACAUUGUCCU
RNA transcript from Oncorhynchus kisutch (coho salmon), 1233 nucleotides. It is a transcript of the gene named protein S100-A1-like, with no coding region annotated. The record is from RefSeq and is a predicted model, not a curated record. The transcript is spliced from 4 exons. Lineage: Eukaryota; Metazoa; Chordata; Actinopteri; Salmoniformes; Salmonidae.